CCUACGGGGGGCAGCAGUGAGGAAUAUUGGUCAAUGGACGAGAGUCUGAACCAGCCAAGUAGCGUGAAGGAUGACUGCCCUAUGGGUUGUAAACUUCUUUUAUAUGGGAAUAAAACGUUCCACGUGUGGGAUUUUGUAUGUACCAUAUGAAUAAGGAUUGGCUAACUCCGUGCCAGCAGCCGCGGUAAUACGGAGGAUCCGAGCGUUAUCCGGAUUUAUUGGGUUUAAAGGGAGCGUAGGUGGAUUGUUAAGUCAGUUGUGAAAGUUUGCGGCUCAACCGUAAAAUUGCAGUUGAAACUGGCAGUCUUGAGUACAGUAGAGGUGGGCGGAAUUCGUGGUGUAGCGGUGAAAUGCUUAGAUAUCACGAAGAACUCCGAUUGCGAAGGCAGUUCACUGGACUGCAACUGACACUGAGGCUCGAAAGUGUGGGUAUCAAACAGGAUUAGAUACCCUAGUAGUC
Molecule: ribosomal RNA, 460 nt
Filed under: uncultured bacterium
Lineage: Bacteria
Description: partial 16S ribosomal RNA
Rfam family: Bacterial small subunit ribosomal RNA
Source: RNAcentral